RNAcentral lists this ribosomal RNA (406 nucleotides) under uncultured bacterium. RNAcentral describes it as "partial 16S ribosomal RNA". It matches the Rfam family "Bacterial small subunit ribosomal RNA", at positions 30 to 526 of the family's 1533-position model. The record is from RNAcentral.
AUUGAACGCUGGCGGCAGGCCUAACACAUGCAAGUCGAACGGGUGGCGGACGGGUGAGUAAUGUCUGGGACACUGCCUGGUGGAGGGGGAUCGCUACCGGGAACGGUAACUAAUACCGCAUUCCAGCAGCUGGGCCCGGUUGGGAUUAGCUAGUGGGUGGGGUAACGGCUCACCAAGGCGACGAUCCGUACCUGGUCUGAGAGGAUGAUCAGCCACACUGGAACUGAGACACGGUCCAGACUCCUACGGGAGGCAGCAGUGGGGAAUAUUGCACAAUGGGCGAAAGCCUGAUGCAGCCAUGCCGCGUGUAUGAAGAAGGUCUUCGGGUUGUAAAGUACUUUCAGCGGGGAGGCGUUACCCGCAGAAGAAGCACCGGCUAACUCCGUGCCAGCCGCCGCGGUAAUAC